This 465-nucleotide ribosomal RNA is filed under the name uncultured bacterium. Its description in RNAcentral is "partial 16S ribosomal RNA". It matches the Rfam family "Bacterial small subunit ribosomal RNA", at positions 28 to 507 of the family's 1533-position model. The record is from RNAcentral.
GACGAACGCUGGCGGCGUGCUUAACACAUGCAAGUCGUACGGUAAGGCCCUUUCGGGGGUACACGAGUGGCGAACGGGUGAGUAACACGUGAGUAACCUGCCCACAACUUUGGGAUAACGCUAGGAAACUGGUGCUAAUACUGGAUAUGUGCUCCUGCUGCAUGGUGGGGGUUGGAAAGCUCCGGCGGUUGUGGAUGGACUCGCGGCCGAUCAGCUUGUUGGUGGGGUAGUGGCCUACCAAGGCGGCGACGGGUAGCCGGCCUGAGAGGGUGACCGGCCACAUUGGGACUGAGAUACGGCCCAGACUCCUACGGGAGGCAGCAGUGGGGAAUAUUGCACAAUGGGCGCAAGCCGGAUGCAGCAACGCCGCGGGCGGGAUGACGGCCUUCGGGUUGUAAACCGCUUUCAGCAGGGACGAAGCUUUUUGUGACGGUACCUGCAGAAGAAGCACCGGCUAACUACGUG